AAAUUGAAGAGUUUGAUCAUGGCUCAGAUUGAACGCUGGCGGCAGGCCUAACACAUGCAAGUCGAACGGUAACAGGAAGAAGCUUGCUUCUUUGCUGACGAGUGGCGGACGGGUGAGUAAUGUCUGGGAAACUGCCUGAUGGAGGGGGAUAACUACUGGAAACGGUAGCUAAUACCGCAUAACGUCGCAAGACCAAAGAGGGGGACCUUCGGGCCUCUUGCCAUCGGAUGUGCCCAGAUGGGAUUAGCUUGUUGGUGGGGUAACGGCUCACCAAGGCGACGAUCCCUAGCUGGUCUGAGAGGAUGACCAGCCACACUGGAACUGAGACACGGUCCAGACUCCUACGGGAGGCAGCAGUGGGGAAUAUUGCACAAUGGGCGCAAG
This 384-nucleotide ribosomal RNA is filed under the name Escherichia coli. Its description in RNAcentral is "bacterial SSU rRNA". It matches the Rfam family "Bacterial small subunit ribosomal RNA", at positions 1 to 381 of the family's 1533-position model. Lineage: Bacteria; Pseudomonadati; Pseudomonadota; Gammaproteobacteria; Enterobacterales; Enterobacteriaceae. The record is from RNAcentral.